Molecule: ribosomal RNA, 492 nt
Filed under: uncultured bacterium
Lineage: Bacteria
Description: partial 16S ribosomal RNA
Rfam family: Bacterial small subunit ribosomal RNA
Source: RNAcentral
AGUGAACGCUGGCGGUAGGCCUAACACAUGCAAGUCGAACGGCAGCACAGUAAGAGCUUGCUCUUACGGGUGGCGAGUGGCGGACGGGUGAGGAAUACAUCGGAAUCUACUUUUUCGUGGGGGAUAACGUAGGGAAACUUACGCUAAUACCGCAUACGACCUACGGGUGAAAGCAGGGGAUCUUCGGACCUUGCGCGAUUGAAUGAGCCGAUGUCGGAUUAGCUAGUUGGCGGGGUAAAGGCCCACCAAGGCGACGAUCCGUAGCUGGUCUGAGAGGAUGAUCGGCCACACUGGAACGGAGACACGGUCCAGACUCCUGCGGGAGGCAGCAGUGGGGAAUAUUGGACAAUGGGCGCAAGCCUGGUCCAGCCAUACCGCGUGGGUGGAGGAGGCCUUCGGGUUGUAAUGCCCUUUUGUUGGGAAAGAAAAGCAGCAGGUUAAUACCCCGCUGUUCUGACGGUACCCAAAGAAUAAGCACCGGCUAACUUCGUG